RNAcentral lists this ribosomal RNA (492 nucleotides) under uncultured bacterium. RNAcentral describes it as "partial 16S ribosomal RNA". It matches the Rfam family "Bacterial small subunit ribosomal RNA", at positions 29 to 507 of the family's 1533-position model. The record is from RNAcentral.
AGUGAACGCUGGCGGUAGGCCUAACACAUGCAAGUCGAACGGCAGCACAGUAAGAGCUUGCUCUUACGGGUGGCGAGUGGCGGACGGGUGAGGAAUACAUCGGAAUCUACUUUUUCGUGGGGGAUAACGUAGGGAAACUUACGCUAAUACCGCAUACGACCUACGGGUGAAAGCAGGGGAUCUUCGGGCCUUGCGCGAUUGAAUGAGCCGAUGUCGGAUUAGCUAGUUGGCGGGGUAAAGGCCCACCAAGGCGACGAUCCGUAGCUGGUCUGAGAGGAUGAUCAGCCACACUGGAACUGAGACACGGUCCAGACUCCUACGGGAGGCAGCAGUGGGGAAUAUUGGACAAUGGGCGCAAGCCUGAUCCAGCCAUACCGCGUGGGUGGAGAAGGCCUUCGGGUUGUAAAGCCCUUUUGUUGGGAAAGAAAAGCAGCAGGUUAAUACCCCGCUGUUCUGACGGUACCCAAAGAAUAAGCACCGGCUAACUUCGUG